Camelus dromedarius (Arabian camel) is the source of this 180-nucleotide small nuclear RNA. Its record names the gene U2. It matches the Rfam family "U2 spliceosomal RNA". From Rfam's summary of the family: U2 is a small nuclear RNA (snRNA) component of the spliceosome (involved in pre-mRNA splicing). Complementary binding between U2 snRNA (in an area lying towards the 5' end but 3' to hairpin I) and the branchpoint sequence (BPS) of the intron results the bulging out of an unpaired adenosine, on the BPS, which initiates a nucleophilic attack at the intronic 5' splice site, thus starting the first of two transesterification reactions that mediate splicing. Lineage: Eukaryota; Metazoa; Chordata; Mammalia; Artiodactyla; Camelidae. The record is from Ensembl.
AUCACUUCUCGGCCUUUUGGCUAAGAUCCAGUGUAGUAUCUGUUCUUAUCAUUUUAAUAUCUGAUACAUCCUCUAUCCAAGGACAAUAUAGUAAAUGGACUUUUGGAGCAGGGAGUUGAAAAAUACAAUGGCAAUCAUAUUAUAAUAUAUAAAUGUAUCAAAUCAACAUGUUGAACACCU